GCGGUCGUGGCGGAACUGGCAGACGCGCUAGAUUCAGGUUCUAGUGAGUGUACGCUCAUGGAGGUUCAAGUCCUCUCGACCGCACCA
Molecule: transfer RNA, 87 nt
Filed under: Desulfitobacterium dehalogenans ATCC 51507
Lineage: Bacteria; Bacillati; Bacillota; Clostridia; Eubacteriales; Desulfitobacteriaceae
Description: tRNA-Leu (CAG) (tRNA-Leu-CAG-1-1)
Rfam family: tRNA
About the family: Transfer RNA (tRNA) molecules are approximately 80 nucleotides in length.
Source: RNAcentral